Molecule: ribosomal RNA, 238 nt
Filed under: uncultured bacterium
Lineage: Bacteria
Description: partial 16S ribosomal RNA
Rfam family: Bacterial small subunit ribosomal RNA
Source: RNAcentral
CGUGAGCAAUCUGCCCAUAUCUGGGGGAUAACAGUUGGAAACGACUGAUAAUACCGCAUAACAUGGUUUGAAGGCAUCUUCUUUCCAUCAAAGAUUUAUCGGAUAUGGAUGAGCUCGCGUCUGAUUAGCUUGUUGGUGAGGUAACGGCUCACCAAGGCGACGAUCAGUAGCCGACCUGAGAGGGUGAUCGGCCACAUUGGAACUGAGACACGGUCCAAACUCCUACGGAAGGCAGCAG